AUUGAACGCUGGCGGCAUGCCUAACACAUGCAAGUCGAACGGCAGCACAGCAGUAGCAAUACUGUGGGUGGCGAGUGGCGGACGGGUGAGGAAUACGUCGGAAUCUGCCCAGUCGUGGGGAUAACUAGCCGAAAGGUUAGCUAAUACCGCAUACGACCGAGAGGUGAAAGCGGGGACCGCAAGGCCUCGCGCGAUUGGAUGAGCCGACGUCGGAUUAGCUAGUUGGCGGGUAAAGGCCCACCAAGGCGACGAUCCGUAGCUGGUCUGAGAGGAUGAUCAGCCACACUGGAACUGAGACACGGUCCAGACUCCUACGGGAGGCAGCAGUGGGGAAUAUUGGACAAUGGGCGCAAGCCUGAUCCAGCAAUGCCGCGUGUGUGAAGAAGGCC
RNAcentral lists this ribosomal RNA (389 nucleotides) under uncultured bacterium. Its description in RNAcentral is "bacterial SSU rRNA". It matches the Rfam family "Bacterial small subunit ribosomal RNA", at positions 29 to 416 of the family's 1533-position model. The record is from RNAcentral.